Molecule: long non-coding RNA, 2317 nt
Filed under: Lathyrus oleraceus (garden pea)
Lineage: Eukaryota; Viridiplantae; Streptophyta; Magnoliopsida; Fabales; Fabaceae
Description: Pisum sativum (pea) long non-coding RNA (PSAT_LNC038443)
Source: RNAcentral
AAAAGAUUGAGUAAAAUAUACAAAAAGAUGUUAUGAUUAUAUAGUAAAUUAUAUUCUUUAAAAUGAAGAAGGAGAAGUUAUAAGACAAAUACAAACAUAAUUAUCAAAUUCAAAAAAAUAAUGAAGAAGGAGAAGUUAUAGGACAAAUAUAAAUGUAGUUAUCAAAUUAAAAAAACAAAUCAAUUAAUUAUAAAUUGAAGUUGAGGAUAAUUAAGGAAUAAAAAUAGGCCACACAAAUACAAAGAUAAUUAUAAAUUCAAAAAAAUAAUGAAAAAGGAGAAGUUAUAGGACAAAUAUAAAGGUAGUUAUCAAAUUAAAAAAAAACAAAUCAAUUAAUUAUAAAUGGAAGUUGAGGAUAAUUAAGGAAUAAAAAUAGGCCACACAAAUAUAAAGGUAGUUAUAAAAGAAUAAAAUAGUAAAUACAAUUGCUUAAAUGAAAAAUAUAAUAAAGGGGAAAAUAUUUCAUUUAUGAAUAGAUAUAGAUUCUCUUGAACUAGAGUUUUACCAUAAUUCUUGCAAAUUCUAGAAAUUAGUUUUUCCAGUGUGCAGAGUUUGCUGAUUUAUAAUUCAAAAUAUAGAAAAAUAUAGAUUUUGUUCUAUAACUAUAUGAGUGGUGAAUAUAUAAAAAAAAAAGUGGGUGGUUACUGAAAUGGAAUGUGUCUGUAGUGUGCAUCAAAGCAAUGUGUGAAAACCAAAAGGAUAAAAGCCAAACAAAACAACACUAAGGGCCCGUUUGAAUCAGUUUUGCUUUUCACUUUCUAAAAUAUGUUUUAUAAAAUUAUUUUGAAAAAGUAUUUUUAAGAAGAGAAUUAUUAAAAAAUUUAUUUGGUAACAUGACUUUUCAAAACUGUUUUAAAAAUGAGAAAGUAGAAAUAUUUGUUUGGUAAAUUAUUUUUAAAAACAGUUUUAUAUUAUUAUUAUUAUUGGAUAAAAAGAAUUAAAAAAUCUAAGGGUAAAAUCGGGAGAAAAAUAGGUCACUCUAAAUAGGUGUAUCCCCUUUAUAUAUAGGUAUUGAUAAAUAUAUGUUUCCUUUAUGCAAUUGUGUUUUGAAACCAUUAUUCUCUCUGAUCCAUUCUAAACAUGUAUCUUCUUAUCUUCUUAUUACAUAUCCAGUUAUCAUAUAUAGUGGUGUUGGAGGAAGUUAUUUAGUGUUGGAGGAAGCUAUUUGAUGUGUUCAUGGAGGUUACAUAUUUAAUAAAUGAUUUUCUUUUUGUAUUUUUUUUAAGUUAAUAAUUGAUAGUAAUUGUAACAAUUGAUAAAGGAUAAAAUUGAAAGAAAAAAAGGUCAUACCAUUUUCAUCUAUCCCCUUUAUCUAUAGGUAUUGAAAAGGCCAUACCAUUUUCAUCUAUCCCAUUUAUCUAUAGGUAUUAAUUAGUUUAGUAGAAAGACUCGUGUCUGCUUUUCUAUUGUGCUUAAUUCUAUAUUUAUUAUAUUGUGCUAGCGUCCAAACGGAUACAACCGCUUUUUUUAAUAUUCACACACGUCAAUAUAAAUAGAUAUUUUUUAUUUAGUUUUGAUUUUAAUAUAAAUUGUUUUUGUAAAAAUGGUCUCUCUCUAAAGACUUAAUCCACUAUAAUCAAAACUUGAUUACUGACCCCACAAAGACAAAUAUUUUUUGUCUUCUUGAGUCUAUCUGACAAAGGAUAAAGAAUGGUCUAUGGCUGGUUCCUACCAUGGAUUGAUAUGUCUCUUUGGAUACUCUUGUUGCAACAUAUUUAUAAUAUCUUAAUAGCAGUUAUUUUUUUUCUAAAUUUUGUGAUAAUCUCUCUCAGUUAUUUUCGAUUUUUUCUUUUUGGAUUUUAAAUGUAAGGCAUUACAGUUAUGCAGUAUUAUGGAGUAAUUUUGUCAAAAGAAGAGGCUGGAGUUUUAAUGACAAAUAUAAAACAAAUUAUGAUUUUCUGGGUUAGAAACAAAAUCGAUGAGAGGAAGAGUAAUUUUAUUAAAGAAAGAGAGAAAAGAUUGAGUAAAAUAUACAAAAAGAUGUUAUGAUUAUAUAGUAAAUUAUAUUCUUUAAAAUGAAGAAGGAGAAGUUAUAAGACAAAUACAAACAUAAUUAUCAAAUUCAAAAAAAUAAUGAAGAAGGAGAAGUUAUAGGACAAAUAUAAAUGUAGUUAUCAAAUUAAAAAAACAAAUCAAUUAAUUAUAAAUUGAAGUUGAGGAUAAUUAAGGAAUAAAAAUAGGCCACACAAAUACAAAGAUAAUUAUAAAUUCAAAAAAAUAAUGAAAAAGGAGAAGUUAUAGGACAAAUAUAAAGGUAGUUAUCAAAUUAAAAAAAAACAAAUCAAUUAAUUAUAAAUGAAAGUUGAGGAUAAUUAAG